Rattus norvegicus (Norway rat) is the source of this 71-nucleotide non-coding RNA. The record is from Rfam. Lineage: Eukaryota; Metazoa; Chordata; Mammalia; Rodentia; Muridae.
GGGGAUUUAGCUCAGUGGUAGAGCGCUUGCCUAGCAAGCUCAAGAGGCCCUGGGUUCGGUCCCCAGCUCUG